GACGAACGCUGGCGGUGUGCUUAACACAUGCAAGUCGAACGGUAAGGCCCUUUCGGGGGUACACGAGUGGCGAACGGGUGAGUAACACGUGAGUAACCUGCCCUCAUCUCUGGGAUAACAGUCGGAAACGGUUGCUAAUACUGGAUAUGAGCCUGCAAGGCAUCUUGUGGGUUGGAAAGAUUUUUUGGUUGGGGAUGGACUCGCGGCCUAUCAGCUUGUUGGUGAGGUAGUGGCUCACCAAGGCUUCGACGGGUAGCCGGCCUGAGAGGGCGACCGGCCACAUUGGGACUGAGAUACGGCCCAAACGCCUACGGGAGGCAGCAGUGGGGAAUAUUGCACAAUGGACGGAAGUCUGAUGCAGCAACGCCGCGUGCGGGAUGACGGCCUUCGGGUUGUAAACCGCUUUCAAUUGUGACGAAGCUUUUUGUGACGGUAGCAGUAGAAGAAGCACCGGCUAACUACGUG
Molecule: ribosomal RNA, 465 nt
Filed under: uncultured bacterium
Lineage: Bacteria
Description: partial 16S ribosomal RNA
Rfam family: Bacterial small subunit ribosomal RNA
Source: RNAcentral